Mytilus trossulus (common blue mussel) is the source of this 3017-nucleotide long non-coding RNA. RefSeq lists it as uncharacterized. NCBI's taxonomy places the organism in Eukaryota, Metazoa, Mollusca, Bivalvia, Mytilida, Mytilidae. The transcript is spliced from 3 exons. The record is from RefSeq and is a predicted model, not a curated record.
UGACAGUAUUUUGACACUAAUUUAGGACACAUAUGUUGUUAGAAUUAAUCAUUAACUUUUAUAGCGCUAAUAAUCAAUUUCUCUGUCCAUUUAAUUAAUAUGUUUAUCUACUUCAAAUUUCCAAUACACGAUUGUUUACGUGGCUGAUAUAAACAGAGUGACCUCUUUCAUAAAAAUUAUAUAAUCGAAUUGUACAAAUACAAUUGACCCUAACCAUAUUUGGAACCAAUACGCGAUUGUUUACGUGGCCGAUAUAAACAGAGUGACCUCUUUCAUAAAAAUUAUAUAAUCGAAUUGUACAAAUACAAUUGACCCUAACCAUAUUUGGAAAUUUCUAAUUUUAUCAUGAUUGCUAUAUAAGUCAAAACACAAUUGACCCUAACCAUAUUUGGAAAUUUCUAAUUUUAUCAUGAUUGCUAUAUAAGUCAAAAUUCUGCUUUGAGACGUCAGAGUUUGAAUUUUGAAUCUUAUAGGUGUCAGUUGAUCCCGGUCUGUCUCUACAACAUCAGGACAGCUGGCCUGCUUUCAACAACGGUAGCAGAGCCGCAAUGUCUCAUUUCAUUCGAGACAUAAGCUAGUUUUCCCCACAUUAUGUAAAGGUCCCAACAUCAACUCUCACAGAUGUAGUGUGUCUGUCGAGAGUCCGAAAGGAAGCAGACCAUGUUUCAGUACCAGAAUAUUCAAUUAUUCUCAUUACAAUAAUUGGUGGACGACCCUUAAAGCUGACAUCUAUACAGACAUCUAUAAAAGUCAAAGUUUAUCAUCACAUCCAGACCAAAUAACAUGCUAGAAGGACAAUUCGAACAUUAACUAUUUGCAGUUGGACAUAAUUUUCGUAACUUUCAAACUUUUGGAUUCCAUAGUAUAUACAGAAUAUUUCAUUUGUGACAUUUAGAAAAUCAACAAAAAGGAUACAGUAUGCAGAACUAUGUUAGAACAUUUAUUAACAUCAGUGACAAUAACAAUUGUAAAGUUAUAUUAUUGUGUAUUGUUUAAAAUAUGUAUUUUCAUGAAACUGUAAGUAGUUCCAAAAUGAUAAAUAAGAAAUUUAAUUUUGAUUUUAAGAUUUCCAGCGAUGAAACUAAAUCUUCAUUUUUAUUUUCAUAAACUACAUUGUGUUUCAUAUCUGUAAAUUUUUAAUUGAAAUGACUAAAACAUUGAUAAUUAAGUUAGCAAAUUUGCUCGAUAAAAUGUUGUUAAUUAUGUAUUCAUUUAAAUUUUCAUUUCAUUGAAUAACUUUUCAGAAUAUUAUUUGCAUAUAGUUUUUUACUAAGAUUAGAUUGAAUUUUAUUUAAAGGACACAUAAAGUGAAUCCCCUUGUAAAAUUAAUCUACAUGGAACAUGGUAGAAAGUCCUGUUGCCAUUUGCUGUACAGAAAAUCGUACAAUAUAGUCAUAAAAAUAGUGUAGAUAUUAACUUAAUAUUGAGAUUGGGCUACCUCAAACUAGGAGCGCCACAUAUAUAUAAGAGCAUAAAAAUGGGCUACCUGAAAGAAGGAACGCCACAAAUAAAAUGGGUUACCUCGCAGGUAGGAACGCCAUGCAUACGAUUAACAGUAACUUAGAGACUAAAAAGAUGCUUAAUUAAAUUCUGUUAAAAGUUUAUUCUGCAUAAUCAUAAUUCAUUUUGAAUUACAACAUUUUGUUGAAACCUUUAGGCGUAUAUAAUUAUUGUACCAUAAAUUUCAUAAUUUUUAAAUAAAUGUCCAAUUGUAAAUUGAGCAAAUAGAAGAAUAAUAAUAAUAAAUAAAUAAUAAUAAUAACAUUUAAAACUAUUGUGGAAAGUUCACAUCAUAAAUAAAACCAACAAUAAGAAAUGUGAUUAAAAAAAAUAAACUCUCAAAAAAAUGAAAAAAAUAAAAAAAGAGAAAAAUGUUAAAACAAAGUUCAUUCCUUAUUCUUGCUUUAUAUUUAACUUAAUUGUCUACUUUGUUAUUUUGAAGUUUCAUAUGGAUAUUAAUUAUUUACUGAAAUUAAUAAUUAAAAGUUAUAAAUCCAAUAAUCAAUUUAGUAAAUUAUGAUAUUUUAAGUUGCUCUAAAUCUUAUAAAAUUAUUAAUUUUUUUUUCUAAUUAAUUUAAAUCUUGGGACAAGAUUUUCUAAAGGAGAAAGAUCUAUUGUGACAGUAUUUUGACAUUAAUUUAGGACACAUAUGUUGUUAGAAUUAAUCAUUAACUUUUAUAGCGCUAAUAAUCAAUUUCUCUGUCCAUUUAAUUAAUAUGUUUAUCUACUUCAAAUUUCCAAUACACGAUUGUUUACGUGGCUGAUAUAAACAGAGUGACCUCUUUCAUAAAAAUUAUAUAAUCGAAUUGUACAAAUACAAUUGACCCUAACCAUAUUUGGAACCAAUACGCGAUUGUUUACGUGGCCGAUAUAAACAGAGUGACCUCUUUCAUAAAAAUUAUAUAAUCGAAUUGUACAAAUACAAUUGACCCUAACCAUAUUUGGAAAUUUCUAAUUUUAUCAUGAUUGCUAUAUAAGUCAAAACACAAUUGACCCUAACCAUAUUUGGAAAUUUCUAAUUUUAUCAUGAUUGCUAUAUAAGUCAAAAUUCUGCUUUGAGACGUCAGAGUUUGAAUUUUGAAUCUUAUAGGUGUCAGUUGAUCCCGGUCUGUCUCUACAACAUCAGGACAGCUGGCCUGCUUUCAACAACGGUAGCAGAGCCGCAAUGUCUCAUUUCAUUCGAGACAUAAGCUAGUUUUCCCCACAUUAUGUAAAGGUCCCAACAUCAACUCUCACAGAUGUAGUGUGUCUGUCGAGAGUCCGAAAGGAAGCAGACCAUGUUUCAGUACCAGAAUAUUCAAUUAUUCUCAUUACAAUAAUUGGUGGACGACCCUUAAAGCUGACAUCUAUACAGACAUCUAUAAAAGUCAAAGUUUAUCAUCACAUCCAGACCAAAUAACAUGCUAGAAGGACAAUUCGAACAUUAACUAUUUGCAGUUGGACAUAAUUUUCGUAACUUUCAAACUUUUGGAUUCCAUAGUAUAUACAGAAUAUUUCAUUUGUGACAUUUAGAAAAU